This 253-nucleotide ribosomal RNA is filed under the name uncultured bacterium. RNAcentral describes it as "partial 16S ribosomal RNA". It matches the Rfam family "Bacterial small subunit ribosomal RNA", at positions 524 to 776 of the family's 1533-position model. The record is from RNAcentral.
UACAGAGGGUGCAAGCGUUGUUCGGAAUUAUUGGGCGUAAAGGGCGCGUAGGCGGUGCGGUAAGUCUGCGGUGAAAUCUCCCGGCUCAACUGGGAGUCUGCCGUGGAAACUGCCGUGCUUGAGUGUGGGAGAGGUGAGUGGAAUUCCUGGUGUAGCGGUGAAAUGCGCAGAUAUCAGGAAGAACACCCGUGGCGAAGGCGGCUCUCUGGGACGGUACUGACGCUGAGACGCGAAAGCGUGGGGAGCGAACAGG